This 290-nucleotide ribosomal RNA is filed under the name uncultured bacterium. RNAcentral describes it as "partial 16S ribosomal RNA". It matches the Rfam family "Bacterial small subunit ribosomal RNA", at positions 333 to 638 of the family's 1533-position model. The record is from RNAcentral.
CUACCCCUACGGGGGGCAGCAGUGGGGAAUAUUGGACAAUGGGGGGAACCCUGAUCCAGCGACGCCGCGUGGGCGAAGAAGUAUUUCGGUAUGUAAAGCCCUAUCAGCAGGGAAGAAGAAAUGACGGUACCUGAGUAAGAAGCACCGGCUAAAUACGUGCCAGCAGCCGCGGUAAUACGUAUGGUGCAAGCGUUAUCCGGAUUUACUGGGUGUAAAGGGAGCGCAGGCGGCACGGCGAGCCUGAUGUGAAAGCCCGCGGCCCAACCGCGCGACUGCAUUGGGAACUCCCG